RNAcentral lists this ribosomal RNA (279 nucleotides) under uncultured bacterium. Its description in RNAcentral is "partial 16S ribosomal RNA". It matches the Rfam family "Bacterial small subunit ribosomal RNA", at positions 506 to 784 of the family's 1533-position model. The record is from RNAcentral.
UGCCAGCCGCCGCGGUAAUACGGAGGGUGCAAGCGUUAUCCGGAAUUAUUGGGUUUAAAGGGUGCGUAGGUGGAAAUUUAAGUCAGUGGUGAAAGCCCACAGCUCAACUGUGGAAUUGCCAUUGAUACUGAAUUUCUUGAAUCUGAUUGAAGUAGGCGGAACAUGACAUGUAGCGGUGAAAUGCUUAGAUAUGUCAUAGAACACCGAUAGCGAAGGCAGCUUACUAAGUCGUCAUUGACGCUGAGGGACGAAAGCGUGGGGAGCGAACAGGAUUAGAUA